GUUCACCAAAAACAUCGCCUCUUGCACGAAUAAGAGGUCCCGCCUGCCCUGUGACUAUAUGUUUAACGGCCGCGGUAUUUUGACCGUGCGAAGGUAGCGCAAUCACUUGUCUUUUAAAUAGGGACCUGUAUGAAUGGCAUAACGAGGGCUUAGCUGUCUCCUUUUUCAAGUCAAUGAAAUUGAUCUCCCCGUGCAGAAGCGGGGAUGGGACCAUAAGACGAGAAGACCCUGUGGAGCUUUAGACACCAAGGCAGACCAUGUUAAGCACCCCAAAACAAAGGGCUAAACUAAAUGAACCCUGCCCGCAUGUCUUCGGUUGGGGCGACCAUGGGGUAAAACAAACCCCCCACGCGGAAAAGGAGUACUCCCACAGCUUAGAGCCCCCGCUCUAAUAAACAGAACUUCUGACCUAAAGAUCCGGCAAAGCCGAUCAACGGACCAAGUUACCCCAGGGAUAACAGCGCAAUCCUCUUUUAGAGCCCAUAUCGACAAGAGGGUUUACGACCUCGAUGUUGGAUCAGGACAUCCUAAUGGUGCAG
This 539-nucleotide ribosomal RNA is filed under the name Haemulon sciurus. RNAcentral's name for it is "partial 16S ribosomal RNA". It matches the Rfam family "Bacterial large subunit ribosomal RNA", at positions 1802 to 2558 of the family's 2925-position model. Lineage: Eukaryota; Metazoa; Chordata; Actinopteri; Lutjaniformes; Haemulidae. The record is from RNAcentral.